Molecule: ribosomal RNA, 460 nt
Filed under: uncultured bacterium
Lineage: Bacteria
Description: partial 16S ribosomal RNA
Rfam family: Bacterial small subunit ribosomal RNA
Source: RNAcentral
CCUACGGGAGGCAGCAGUGAGGAAUAUUGGUCAAUGGCCGGAAGGCUGAACCAGCCAUGCCGCGUGAAGGUCAGUGCCCUAUGGGCGUUAAACUUCUUUUGUGCGGGAGCAAUAAUGGUCACGUGUGGACAGACGAGAGUACCGUACGAAUAAGCAUCGGCUAACUCUGUGCCAGCAGCCGCGGUAAUACGGGGGAUGCAAGUGUUAUCCGGAUUUAUUGGGGUUAAAGGGUGCGUAGGCUGUGAGGUAAGUCAGCGGGGAAAUGCCCCGGCUCAACGGGGUGAAGUGCCAUUGAUACUGGCUUGCUGGAGUGCGGAUGCCGUGGGAGGAAUGUGUGGUGUAGCGGUGAAAUGCAUAGAGAUCACACAGAACACCGAUUGCGAAGGCAUCUCACGGAUCCGCGAUUGACGCUGAUGCGCGAAAGCGUGGGUAUCAAACAGGAUUAGAUACCCUUGUAGUC